RNAcentral lists this ribosomal RNA (69 nucleotides) under Fusibacter bizertensis. Lineage: Bacteria; Bacillati; Bacillota; Clostridia; Eubacteriales; Fusibacteraceae. The record is from RNAcentral.
UCCAGUGAUGAUGGCGGAGGGGCCACACCUGUUCCCAUACCGAACACAGAAGUAAAGUCCUCCAGCGUC